AACGAACGCUGGCGGCAUGCCUAACACAUGCAAGUCGAACGAAGGCUUCGGCCUUAGUGGCGCACGGGUGCGUAACGCGUGGGAAUCUGCCCUUAGGUUCGGAAUAACAGCUGGAAACGGCUGCUAAUACCGGAUGAUAUCGCGAGAUCAAAGAUUUAUCGCCUGAGGAUGAGCCCGCGUUGGAUUAGGUAGUUGGUGGGGUAAAGGCCUACCAAGCCGACGAUCCAUAGCUGGUCUGAGAGGAUGAUCAGCCACACUGGGACUGAGACACGGCCCAGACUCCUACGGGAGGCAGCAGUGGGGAAUAUUGGACAAUGGGCGAAAGCCUGAUCCAGCAAUGCCGCGUGAGUGAUGAAGGCCCUAGGGUUGUAUAGCUCUUUUACCCGGGAAGAUAAUGACUGUACCGGGAGAAUAAGCCCCGGCUAACUACGUGCCAGCCGCCGCAGUAA
RNAcentral lists this ribosomal RNA (449 nucleotides) under uncultured bacterium. Its description in RNAcentral is "partial 16S ribosomal RNA". It matches the Rfam family "Bacterial small subunit ribosomal RNA", at positions 29 to 523 of the family's 1533-position model. The record is from RNAcentral.